AAACUGAAGAGUUUGAUCCUGGCUCAGAUUGAACGCUGGCGGCAUGCCUUACACAUGCAAGUCGAACGGCAGCACGGGUGCUUGCACCUGGUGGCGAGUGGCGAACGGGUGAGUAAUACAUCGGAACAUGUCCUGUAGUGGGGGAUAGCCCGGCGAAAGCCGGAUUAAUACCGCAUACGAUCUAUGGAUGAAAGCGGGGGACCUUCGGGCCUCGCGCUAUAGGGUUGGCCGAUGGCUGAUUAGCUAGUUGGUGGGGUAAAGGCCUACCAAGGCGACGAUCAGUAGCUGGUCUGAGAGGACGACCAGCCACACUGGGACUGAGACACGGCCCAGACUCCUACGGGAGGCAGCAGUGGGGAAUUUUGGACAAUGGGCGAAAGCCUGAUCCAGCAAUGCCGCGUGUGUGAAGAAGGCCUUCGGGUUGUAAAGCACUUUUGUCCGGAAAGAAAUCCUUGGCUCUAAUACAGUCGGGGGAUGACGGUACCGGAAGAAUAAGCACCGGCUAACUACGUGCCAGCAGCCGCGGUAAUACGUAGGGUGCAAGCGUUAAUCGGAAUUACUGGGCGUAAAGCGUGCGCAGGCGGUUUGCUAAGAC
RNAcentral lists this ribosomal RNA (595 nucleotides) under Burkholderia vietnamiensis. Its description in RNAcentral is "bacterial SSU rRNA". It matches the Rfam family "Bacterial small subunit ribosomal RNA", at positions 1 to 589 of the family's 1533-position model. The record is from RNAcentral. Lineage: Bacteria; Pseudomonadati; Pseudomonadota; Betaproteobacteria; Burkholderiales; Burkholderiaceae.